AUACGUAGGGAGCGAGCGUUGUCCGGAAUUACUGGGCGUAAAGGGCGCGUAGGCGGCGCUUCAAGUCGUCUGUCAAAUGGGAGGGCUUAACCCUUUUUCGCAGACGAAACUGGAGAGCUUGAGAAGCAGAGAGGCAAACAGAAUUCCUGGUGUAGCGGUGAAAUGCGUAGAUAUCAGGAAGAAUACCAGUGGCGAAGGCGGUUUGCUGGCUGCAUACCGACGCUGAAGCGCGAAAGCCAGGGGAGCAAACGGGAUUAGAUACCCCGGUAGUCCUGGCAGUAAACGAUGUAUGCUGGGUGUGAGACUAGCGAUAGUUUCGUGCCGAAGUUAACGCGAUAAGCAUACCGCCUGGGGAGUACGGUCGCAAGAUUGAAACUUAAAGGAAUUGACGGGG
Molecule: ribosomal RNA, 394 nt
Filed under: uncultured bacterium
Lineage: Bacteria
Description: partial 16S ribosomal RNA
Rfam family: Bacterial small subunit ribosomal RNA
Source: RNAcentral